AUGGGAGGAGUUCUCAUGCAGCAUCACCAAAUCUCUCGCACUCCUCUGCGAAAAGCGGCCUUCGCCGGAUCAUUUGCUCUCCAAAGAGAUGUUGCUCUCCAUCGCGCUCCACGGCGGGGUUCUCUGCCGUGCUCAUCUUCCCUGACGGUCAGAGCAGAAGCCAACGGGUCCUCCACUUCAAGAAUGGCGGUCAAGAAGCACAGCAAAGAAGAGCUCAUGGAGUUCUUCGGGGCCAUCCAGGCCGCCAUUGCCAGGGACUCUCCCAAGCCGCCCGGGAGGACGAGGAAGCCGUCGUCGCCGGCUGACACGCUCGAAGAUGCCGGCACGAAGAUGAAACCACACGAGGGACUGCAGCAAGACGGGCAGCCAAAUUUUGAGGGCAUGACGGUGCCCGAGCUGAGGGACUUGGCGAGGGUGAGGGGGAUGAGAGGUUACUCCAAGCUGAAGAAAGGGGAGCUGAUUGAUCGUCUGAGAGGUGCUUGGUCGUCUGAUAAUUAA
This 498-nucleotide ribosomal RNA is filed under the name Triticum aestivum (bread wheat). RNAcentral's name for it is "partial small subunit ribosomal RNA". Lineage: Eukaryota; Viridiplantae; Streptophyta; Magnoliopsida; Poales; Poaceae. The record is from RNAcentral.